Podarcis raffonei (Aeolian wall lizard) is the source of this 857-nucleotide long non-coding RNA. RefSeq lists it as uncharacterized. The record is from RefSeq and is a predicted model, not a curated record. NCBI's taxonomy places the organism in Eukaryota, Metazoa, Chordata, Lepidosauria, Squamata, Lacertidae. The transcript has 2 exons.
UGCAUCUGCAUAAGCUCCACGGAAGGGAGGAAAAACCUUUGAUCUAGGUUCUGGAGCCUUAAUUGGCCCAGCUGUCACAGGUUAAAAUUAUUAGCCCACAAGCUGGUCAUUGGAGAAUUUGAAUGUAACCUAGGAUUGUGAUUGGACCUGGGGUUCUGGUUCCACGUGCAAUUUGUGAAUAAAGAUCUUAGGAAUGGCUGGGGAAAGCGCUCUGAAAUCCGCCCGGCUGCUAACGUUCGACCUGGCAGCCGUCUUUUGUCUCUUUGUGAUGAAGAUUUUCUAGGACUUCUGAAUGUGGAUCAACUGAAGGACUCUGAACUAUCCUAUCUUUGCCUUAGUGUGUAGAAGAUUGUACUCAGAAAAAGAGCCACUUCAUUGGGAAACGAGGGGCACUUCUCAACAUCCCUUAUGAAACUCCAACAUGUACAGAUGUACAAAAAGAAAUCUUAGGCGGGGAAAACCACAGCCUAAGAUGUAAAAGCAAAAUUCAAGACAUUCCCACAGACUGGCACAGGGGCAAAAUGGAAUAGGAGAAUGUAACAACUGGUUGCCUAGAUCAAUGAACGAGAGCACUCCACAAUGCAACAGUUUAUUGCAGGUUGAGUUCCAGAAGACACAGGAUGGCUCCAGCAAAGGCUGUGUUCCUAAUCUAGGACCAGCAACUGGUAGGGUCUAGAAACCCCGGGAAAUAUCAAGAUUUCACUUGAGCUGGGCCCACCAUCUUGGCCAAGUCCCCUUUGAAACAUUCAUGUUAACUAGUUUUUACAUAGCUUUUGUAUGUUGUGGCUUAUUUUCCUCAGUGUGUGAGUUUACAGGACUUUCUGACUUUGCUAAAAUAACUAUUUUCCCUGCAUAAA